UACGGGGGGAGCAAGCGUUGUUCGGAUUCAUUGGGCGUAAAGGGUGCGUAGGCGGCGCGGUAAGUCGGGUGUGAAAUCUUGGAGCUUAACUCCGAAACUGCAUUCGAUACUGCCGUGCUUGAGGACUGGAGAGGAGACUGGAAUUUACGGUGUAGCGGUGAAAUGCGUAGAUAUCGUAAGGAAGACCAGUGGCGAAGGCGGGUCUCUGGACAGUUCCUGACGCUGAGGCACGAAGGCCAGGGGAGCAAACGGG
RNAcentral lists this ribosomal RNA (253 nucleotides) under uncultured bacterium. Its description in RNAcentral is "partial 16S ribosomal RNA". It matches the Rfam family "Bacterial small subunit ribosomal RNA", at positions 524 to 776 of the family's 1533-position model. The record is from RNAcentral.